CCUCCCCAACCCACACGCCAUCAACCUCCAGACCCUCUCGCCGUGGCUUAGAGGUGUCUCUGACAACGUGGCACACUGGGAAGGCCUUCUUUCCUGCUACCAAUACAAAUGCAUUCUGAAUUUGAUAUGUCAUUAAAUGUAAAAAUACAGCCAAUUUGAAACAAGCAAAUGGAAAUUCCCAGGAACCAAAAACAGAAAGAAAAAUCAGAGCUACCGCAGUGCUGUCCCUGCAGACAGAAUUUGGGAGAGGUACUCAGAGUCACCUCCUGUGAGCCUAUGCAAGCCAGCUCCUGCACAACCCUGGUUUUAGUCCAGCCUUCUGCAGAAUUCCACAUUAAACAGGAUGAAGAAUAGGUUGUUAGCAGACUGAGGUACUUGGGGCAACAUUUCGUACACAACAGGAGGGAGAAACGACUCCAGGUUGUCUUGUGGUAGAGGAGAUUUUGCCUUGCAAUUUUACAUACUUAUGCUACGUGGAAGGCUGGGUGGCGUGACUUCAGAAAAAUGUUUCCUCAGGAAAGAGACACACAGAGAGAGAGAGAAAGAGAGAAAGAGAGAACCCACCUACCUGUUUUGCAAAAGUCUCAUGAAUCAUCCCUUCCUGUGGUCCUGCUCCCUGAGAUCCUUUCACCGCUCACAGUGGGCUACUUCUAAGAGCGUGCCUGGCACAGGGUCACUGAGAGCAUAGUCUUAAUAAAACAAUGAUGGAUGCUUGUCUCUCUCA
RNAcentral lists this long non-coding RNA (724 nucleotides) under Homo sapiens (human). Its description in RNAcentral is "non-protein coding LINC00929:3". The record is from RNAcentral. Lineage: Eukaryota; Metazoa; Chordata; Mammalia; Primates; Hominidae.